Molecule: ribosomal RNA, 443 nt
Filed under: uncultured bacterium
Lineage: Bacteria
Description: partial 16S ribosomal RNA
Rfam family: Bacterial small subunit ribosomal RNA
Source: RNAcentral
CCUACGGGAGGCAGCAGUGGGGAAUAUUGGGCAAUGGAGGCAACUCUGACCCAGCAACGCCGCGUGAAUGAUGAAGGUCUUCGGAUUGUAAAGUUCUGUGAUGGGGGAUGAACACAAUGACGGUACCCCAAUAGCAAGCCACCGCUAACUACGUGCCAGCAGCCGCGGUAAUACGUAGGGGGCAAGCGUUAUCCGGAGUGACUGGGCGUAAAGGGGGCGUAGGUGGUUUAGUAAGUUAUCGGUGUAAUUCCGGGGCUCAACCUCGGCGCUACCGCCAAAACUAUUAGACUAGAGUGCAGGAGGGGUAAGUGGAAUUCCUAGUGUAGCGGUGGAAUGCGUAGAUAUUAGGAGGAACAUCAGGGGCGAAGGCGACUUACUGGACUGUAACUGACACUGAGGUACGAAAGCGUGGGUAGCAAACAGGAUUAGAUACCCGGGUAGUC